Molecule: ribosomal RNA, 468 nt
Filed under: uncultured bacterium
Lineage: Bacteria
Description: partial 16S ribosomal RNA
Rfam family: Bacterial small subunit ribosomal RNA
Source: RNAcentral
GACGAACGCUGGCGGCGUGCUUAACACAUGCAAGUCGAACGGAAAGGCCCUGCUUUUGUGGGGUGCUCGAGUGGCGAACGGGUGAGUAACACGUGAGUAACCUGCCCUUGACUUUGGGAUAACUUCAGGAAACUGGGGCUAAUACCGGAUAGGAGCUCCUGCUGCAUGGUGGGGGUUGGAAAGUUUCGGCGGUUGGGGAUGGACUCGCGGGUUAUCAGCUUGUUGGUGGGGUAGUGGCUUACCAAGGCUUUGACGGGUAGCCGGCCUGAGAGGGUGACCGGCCACAAUGGGACUGAGAUACGGAGCAGACUCCUACGGGCGGCAGCAGUGGGAAAUAUUGCACAAUGGGCGGAAGCCUGAUGCAGAAACGCCGCGUGCGGGAUGACGGCCUUCGGGUUGUAAACCGCUUUCGCCGGUGACGAAGCGUGAGUGACGGUAAUGGGUAAAGAAGCACCGGCUAACUACGUG